GAUGAACGCUGGCGGCGUGCCUAAUACAUGCAAGUCGAGCGAACAGAUGAGGAGCUUGCUCCUCUGACGUUAGCGGCGGACGGGUGAGUAACACGUGGAUAACCUACCUAUAAGACUGGGAUAACUUCGGGAAACCGGAGCUAAUACCGGAUAAUAUAUUGAACCGCAUGGUUCAAUAGUGAAAGACGGUUUUGCUGUCACUUAUAGAUGGAUCCGCGCCGCAUUAGCUAGUUGGUAAGGUAACGGCUUACCAAGGCGACGAUGCGUAGCCGACCUGAGAGGGUGAUCGGCCACACUGGAACUGAGACACGGUCCAGACUCCUACGGGAGGCAGCAGUAGGGAAUCUUCCGCAAUGGGCGAAAGCCUGACGGAGCAACGCCGCGUGAGUGAUGAAGGUCUUCGGAUCGUAAAACUCUGUUAUUAGGGAAGAACAAAUGUGUAAGUAACUAUGCACGUCUUGACGGUACCUAAUCAGAAAGCCAGGGCUAACUACGUG
Molecule: ribosomal RNA, 497 nt
Filed under: uncultured bacterium
Lineage: Bacteria
Description: partial 16S ribosomal RNA
Rfam family: Bacterial small subunit ribosomal RNA
Source: RNAcentral